RNAcentral lists this unclassified non-coding RNA (240 nucleotides) under soil metagenome. RNAcentral describes it as "partial contains 5.8S ribosomal RNA, internal transcribed spacer 2, and large subunit ribosomal RNA". The record is from RNAcentral.
AACAAGGCGUACCUGCGGACCUGCGGAGGGAUCAUUAUUGAAUAAAUCUGACAUGGUUGUAGCUGGCUCUUAGGAGCAUGUGCACACCAGUCACCUUUAUCUUUCCACCUGUGAACCCUUUGUAGUCCCAGGAUAACCUCUCGCGCACUCUGGUGUUGCGGAUGCGAAGGUUGUUGUGCCUCUGGCCAGCUUCCAUCGAAUUUCCUGGGUCUAUGUUUCUUACACACCCCUGUAUGUUAA